GAUGAACGCUGGCGGCGUGCCUAAUACAUGCCAGUCGAGCGAACAGAUGAGGAGCUUGCUCCUCUGACGUUAGCGGCGGACGGGUGAGUAACACGUGGAUAACCUACCUAUAAGACUGGGAUAACUUCGGGAAACCGGAGCUAACACCGGAUAAUAUAUUGAACCGCAUGGUUCAAUAGUGAAAGACGGUUUUGCUGUCACUUAUAGAUGGAUCCGCGCCGCAUUAGCUAGUUGGUAAGGUAACGGCUUACCAAGGCAACGAUGCGUAGCCGACCUGAGAGGGUGAUCGGCCACACUGGAACUGAGACACGGUCCAGACUCCUACGGGAGGCAGCAGUAGGGAAUCUUCCGCAAUGGGCGAAAGCCUGACGGAGCAACGCCGCGUGAGUGAUGAAGGUCUUCGGAUCGUAAAACUCUGUUAUUAGGGAAGAACAAAUGUGUAAGUAACUAUGCACGUCUUGACGGUACCUAAUCAGAAAGCCACGGCUAACUACGUG
Molecule: ribosomal RNA, 497 nt
Filed under: uncultured bacterium
Lineage: Bacteria
Description: partial 16S ribosomal RNA
Rfam family: Bacterial small subunit ribosomal RNA
Source: RNAcentral